UACGUAGGGGGCGAGCGUUGUCCGGAAUCAUUGGGCGUAAAGCGCGUGUAGGCGGUCCAGUAAGUCUGCUGUGAAAGUCCAGGGCUCAACCCUGGGAUGCCGGUGGAUACUGCUGAACUAGAGUACGGAAGAGGCGAGUGGAAUUCCCGGUGUAGCGGUGAAAUGCGCAGAUAUCGGGAGGAACACCAAUUGCGAAGGCAGCUCGCUGGGACGUUACUGACGCUGAGACGCGAAAGCGUGGGGAGCAAACAGG
RNAcentral lists this ribosomal RNA (253 nucleotides) under uncultured bacterium. RNAcentral describes it as "partial 16S ribosomal RNA". It matches the Rfam family "Bacterial small subunit ribosomal RNA", at positions 524 to 776 of the family's 1533-position model. The record is from RNAcentral.